Molecule: ribosomal RNA, 253 nt
Filed under: uncultured bacterium
Lineage: Bacteria
Description: partial 16S ribosomal RNA
Rfam family: Bacterial small subunit ribosomal RNA
Source: RNAcentral
UACAGAGGGUGCGAGCGUUAAUCGGAAUUACUGGGCGUAAAGCGCGCGUAGGUGGCUUUGCAAGUCGAGUGUGAAAUCCCCGGGCUCAACCUGGGAACUGCAUUCGAGACUGCAUUGCUAGAGUAUGGGAGAGGGAAGUGGAAUUUCAGGUGUAGCGGUGAAAUGCGUAGAUAUCUGAAGGAACAUCAGUGGCGAAAGCGACUUCCUGGACCAAUACUGACACUCAAGUGCGAAAGCGUGGGGAGCAAACAGG